ACCAGAUACCAGGGACUAUGAUACCAGGGACUUUGAUAACAGAUACCAGGGACUAUGAUAACAGAUACCAGGGGAUAUGAUACCAGGGACUAUGAUAACAGGGACGAUGAUAACAGAUACCAGGGACUAUGAUACCAGGGACUAUGGUAUCAGGGAGUAUGAUACCAGGACUAUGAUACCAGAUACCAGGGACUAUGAUACCAGGGACUAUGAUACCAGAUACCAGGGACUAUGAUACCAGAUACCAGGGACUAUGAUAACAGAUACCAGGGACGAUGAUAACAGAUACCAGGGACGAUGAUAACAGAUACCAGGGACGAUGAUAACAGAUACCAGGGACUAUUAUACCAGAUACCAGGGACUAUUAUACCAGAUACCAGGGACUAUGAUACCAAAUACCAGUGACUGUGAUACAAGAUACCAGGGACUAUGAUACCAGGGACGAUGAUAACAUAUACCAGGGACGAUGAUACCAGGGACGAUGAUAACAGAUACCAGGGACUAUGAUACCAGGGACUAUGAUACCAGAUACCAGGGGACUAUGAUACCAGGGACGAUGAUAACAGAUACCAGGGACUAUGAUACCAGAUACCAGGGACUAUGAUACCAGGGACGAUAAUAACAGAUACCAGGGACGAUGGUACCAGGGACUAUGAUAACAGAUACCAGGGACUAUGAUACCAGAUACCAGGGACUAUGGUAUCAGGGACUAUGAUACCAGAUACCAGGGACUAUGAUACCAGAUACCAGGAACUAUGAUACCAGAUACCAGGGACUAUGAUACCAGGGACUAUGAUACCAGAUACCAGGGACUAUGAUAACAGAUACCAGGGACUAUGAUACCAGGGACUAUGAUAACAGAUACCAGGGACUGUGAUACAAGAUACCAGGGACUAUGAUACCAGGGACGAUGAUAACAUAUACCAGGGACAAUGAUACCAGGGACGAUGAUACCAGAUACCAGGGACUAUGAUACCAGAUACCAGGGACUGUGAUACAAGAUACCAGGGACUAUGAUACCAGGGACGAUGAUAACAUAUACCAGGGACGAUGAUACCAGGGACGAGGAUAACAGAUACCAGGGACUAUGAUAACAGGGACGAUGAUAACAGAUACCAGGGGCUAUGAUACCAGGGAUGAUGAUAACAGAUACCAGGGACUAUGAUACCAGGGACUAUUAUACCAGAUACCAGGACAUAUGAUACCAGGGACUAUGAUACCAGAUACCAGGGACUAUGAUACCAGGGACGAUGAUACCAGAUACCAGGGACUAUGAUACCAGGGACUAUUAUACCAGAUACCAGGGACUGUGAUAACAGAUACCAGGGACUAUGAUAACAGAUACCAGGGACUAUGAUACCAGAUACCAGGGACUGUGAUACAAGAUACCAGGGACUAUGAUACCAGGGACGAUGAUAACAUAUACCAGGGACGAUGAUACCAGGGACGAUGGUAUCAGGGACUAUGAUACCAGAUACCAUGAUAACAGAUACCAGGGACUAUGAUACCAGAUACCAGGGACUGUGAUACAAGAUACCAGGGACUAUGAUACCAGGGACGAUGAUAACAUAUACCAGGGACUAUGAUACCAGGGACGAUGAUAAGAUACCAGGGACUAUGAUACCAGAUACCAGGGACUAUGAUACCAGAUACCAGGGACGAUGAUAACAUAUACCAGGGACUAUGAUACCAGAUACCGGGGACUGUGAUACAAGAUAUCAGGGACUAUGAUAACAUAUACCAGGGACUAUGAUACCAGGGACGAUGAUAACAGAUACCAGGGACUAUGAUACCAGGGACUGUGAUACAAGAUACCAGGGACUGUGAUACAAGAUACCAGGGACGAUGAUAACAGAUACCAGGGACUAUGAUACCAGGGACUAUUAUACCAUAUACCAGGGACUGUGGUAUCAGGGACUAUGAUAACAGAUACCUGGGACUAUGAUACCAGGGACGAUGAUAACAGAUACCAGGGACUAUGAUACCAGAUUCCAGGGACUGUGAUACAAGAUACCAGGGACUAUGAUACCAGGGACGAUGAUAACAGAUACCAGGGACUAUGAUACCAGGGACUAUUAUACCAAAUACCAGGGACUGUGAUACACGAUACCAAGGACGAGGAUACCAGGGACUAUGAUCAGCUAGUUUUAAAAAAACAUGUAAUUGAUUGAUAUCAUGACAAUCAUCCCCUAGACAACACAAGGUUAUACAAAUAGGGCCAGAAACAACACCAGGUUAUACAAAUAGGGCCAGAGACAACACCAGGUUAUACAAAUAGGGCCAGAGACAACACCAGGUUAUACAAAUAGGGCCAGAGACAACACCAGGUUAUACAAAUAGGGCCAGAGACAACACCAGGUUAUACAAAUAGGGCCAGAGACAACACCAGGUUAUACAAAUAGGGCCAGAGACAACACCAGGUUAUACAAAUAGGGCCAGAGACAACACCAGGUUAUACAAACAGGGCCAGAGACAACACCAGGUUAUACAAACAGGGCCAGAGACAACACCAGGUUAUACAAACAGGGCCAGAGACAACACCAGGUUAUACAAAUAGGGCCAGAGACAACACCAGGUUAUACAAACAGGGCCAGAGACGACACCAGGUUAUACAAAUAGGGCCAGAGACAACACCAGGUUAUACAAAUAGGGCCAGAGACAACACCAGGUUAUACAAAUAGGGCCAGAGACAACACCAGGUUAUACAAAUAGGGCUAGAGACAACACCAGGUUAUACAAAUAGGGCCAGAGACAACACCAGGUUAUACAAAUAGGGCCAGAGACAACACCAGGUUAUACAAAUAGGGCCAGAGACAACACCAGGUUAUACAAAUAGGGCCAGAGACAACACCAGGUUAUACAAAUAGGGCCAGAGACAACACCAGGUUACACAAAUAGGGCCAGAGACAACACCAGGUUAUACAAAUAGGGCCAGAGACAACACCAGGUUAUACAAAUAGGUUCAGAGACAACACCAGGUUAUACAAAUAGGGCCAGAGACAACACCAGGUUAUACAAACAGGGCCAGAGACAACACCAGGUUAUACAAACAGGGCCAGAGACAACACCAGGUUAUACAAAUAGGGCCAGAGACAACACCAGGUUAUACAAAUAGGGCCAGAGACAACACCAGGUUAUACAAAGAGGGCCAGAGACAACACCAGGUUAUACAAAUAGGGCCAGAGACAACACCAGGUUACACAAAUAGGGCCAGAGACAACACCAGGUUACACAAAUAGGGCCAGAGACAACACCAGGUUACACAAAUAGGGCCAGAGACAACACCAGGUUAUACAAAUAGGGCCAGAGACAACACCAGGUUACACAAAUAGGGCCAGAGACAACACCAGGUUACACAAAUAGGGCCAGAGACAACACCAGGUUACACAAAUAGGGCCAGAGACAACACCAGGUUAUACAAAUAGGGCCAGAGACAACACCAGGUUAUACAAAUAGGGCCAGAGACAACACCAGGUUAUACAAAUAGGGCCAGAGACAACACCAGGUUAUACAAAUAGGGCCAGAGACAACACCAGGUUAUACAAAUAGGGCCAGAGACAACACCAGGUUAUACAAACAGGGCCAGAGACAACACCAGGUUAUACAAAUAGGGCCAGAGACAACACCAGGUUAUACAAAUAGGGCCAGAGACGACACCAGGUUAUACAAACAGGGCCAGAGACGACACCAGGUUAUACAAAUAGGGCCAGAGACAACACCAGGUUAUACAAAUAGGGCCAGAGACAACACCAGGUUAUACAAAUAGGGCCAGAGACAACACCAGGUUAUACAAAUAGGGCCAGAGACAACACCAGGUUAUACAAAUAGGGCCAGAGACAACACCAGGUUAUACAAAUAGGGCCAGAGACAACACCAGGUUAUACAAAUAGGGCCAGAGACAACACCAGGUUAUACAAAUAGGGCCAGAGACAACACCAGGUUAUACAAAUAGGGCCAGAGACAACACCAGGUUAUACAAAUAGGGCCAGAGACAACACCAGGUUACACAAAUAGGGCCAGAGACAACACCAGGUUAUACAAAUAGGGCCAGAGACAACAUCAGGUUAUACAAAUAGGGCCAGAGACAACACCAGGUUAUACAAAUAGGGCCAGAGACAACACCAGGUUAUACAAAUAGGGCCAGAGACAACACCAGGUUAUACAAAUAGGGCUGUAAACAACACCAGGUUAUACAAAUAGGGCUGUAAACAACACCAGGUUAUACAAAUAGGGCUGUAAACAACACCAGGUUAUACAAAAAACACAUAUGAUACUAACGUUCCUCUGUUUU
This is a long non-coding RNA of Oncorhynchus kisutch (coho salmon), 4291 nucleotides long. RefSeq lists it as uncharacterized. The transcript is spliced from 3 exons. NCBI's taxonomy places the organism in Eukaryota, Metazoa, Chordata, Actinopteri, Salmoniformes, Salmonidae. The record is from RefSeq and is a predicted model, not a curated record.